Macaca mulatta (Rhesus monkey) is the source of this 495-nucleotide non-coding RNA. The record is from RefSeq and is a predicted model, not a curated record. Lineage: Eukaryota; Metazoa; Chordata; Mammalia; Primates; Cercopithecidae.
CUGGAACUCUACUACACAGAUGGACAUGGAUUUCUGUGGCUUGAUAAACCAUCUGGAUUUCUUACAUUUAGGGUGAAUCCAAUUAUUUGUUCUUUCCUUUGGAGGGUGAAAAGUGUCUUCCCAACAAGCUUCUGUUCACAGACUAAGAAAGAUGGAGUCUUUCCUCUUGGAUGACGUCAGCUCUGUGAUACGGAACAAAGGCAUUGAGAGAAUCAUCUCACCAAUGAUCGUUCAGCUUUGCCAUCUCCUCAUCUCAAUGGAGAGGAAAGAAGUGGAGAAUGAAGUGUUUGCCUCGUUGGAGAUGAUGGCUGAGGAAUUGGCUAAAGCUUGUGAAGACUUUGUGCAAGUUGCCAAAAGGUAAUUCUUUCAAAGAACACAAUAAAUUUUCACUCUGACAAAUUUGCAGAAGAAGGAAAGUGUAACUAGAGACUUAUUAUAAUCUUAAGUGCUUUUGGAAAGAAGUUGGAUGAGAAAAAAAUAAAUUGAUAAAACACA